Molecule: long non-coding RNA, 1547 nt
Organism: Triticum dicoccoides
Lineage: Eukaryota; Viridiplantae; Streptophyta; Magnoliopsida; Poales; Poaceae
Exons: 3
Source: RefSeq, a predicted model, not a curated record
UUUAGUCUUGUCCUGAUAACUAGAACUGCUGUGAUGUUGCUCUGUUAUAAGUACAUUGCCUACACCAGUUGAAAUAACUCAUGGUUGCCUUUUCUUUUGUUUGUCCAGGCAAUGUAUGGUAGAAGGUGUAAAUAGUGUAGAUUCAGUGUUCUGUAUAUUUAUGAAAUUCACAAUCAGUAGUGUCAUGUGUGAUGCGCCAUGAAUCGUAGUGAGCUUAUUUCUUUGCACACUUGGUGUAUCCUCUUAUCAUCUUUUGUACAGGUCCUGGAAUGGAAAGAUCAGUUUGGUGGUGCCAUACUGAAUCAAUUAUGUAGGCUUGGCACCUCCCUUGAUUGGUCCGUGAGAUGUAAUCUAUUGCCUCUCUGAUGUGAUCUGCUACAAAAUUAUGUCUCAACCAUCUCUAUUUACAUUACUAUUGUAAGAUUCUGAAAGGUAAAUUAUGCUAGGACAAUUCUUGUUUAGCUUUAACUAUGAUAUCCUAAAUGCGCAAGUAAAUACUACUGGGAUUACGACUACAAAAAAUAUUAUGACAUGCGAACAAUUCUUGGUUGAAAUACUGUGAGCUUAAAUAACAGGAGCUAAACUGUUUUGCUGUGUUUAGAAUUGGUACUAGAAAAGAUAAUCUAAACUGUACAUUCUGAAAGUAUAUUGGACUCUUGCCCUUCUGAAAUUAGUCUUCUAAGCAUUACUUUGUAACAAAUGACAUGAUAACUUGCUGGUUCAGUUUAAAGUUGCAGGCAAACGCUUGCGAGCAACCCUCAGCUGGUCAUCAUCGCUCAUGAUGUUGACCCAGUUGAGCUGGUUGUGUGGUUCCCAGCCCUGUGCAGGAAAUUGGGAGGUCCCAAACCGCAUUGUUAAGGGAGAAUCACACCGUGGACCCUGUAGGUAUUUCCUAAUGUAAGUGUCAUGUUUUCCUUCUUUCUGCACCUGGACGGGAGUGCUCAUGAGAGCGACGACAUGCUACUGAACUCAAUUUCAGAAAUGAAUUUGGGGGCCUGCGGUCUGGAGCCCCUCAUUAGAAGUGCUCAGGCGGCAUGUCAAGUUGUUUGCUGAGAAUUUACCAAGAACAAUUUUUGCUUGUCUCUAGCAUGAGGCUAUGAGCCCUAUAGUAGUUCCAGUGUGAUGAUCUACCACUUGUCUAGGAAGGGGGAUUAAAAGAUGGCACUUGUCAUUUGGAGCAAUUAGUAUUGGACUAUUUGAGGAAGUAAAUGUUUAAACCACUAAACCUUAUACUCAUUUGUAAAAAGGUUAUGUGUUUUUUUAAUCCAUUAGCAGAGUUAGUUUGUCUAGAAUAACUAACUAUCUGGAGUUCUGGACUAAUAUGGAAUGAUGAAAAUUUCAGAACUAGAUAUAAAAUUUGAUGCGUCUGGCUUGUUUACCUUGCAGUCUUUAUUUCUAAUAAUUUUCUUGUUGUUGAGGUUGCCCCUAGGUUUUAUUACUGUGGGUCUAAUUUAGAUAAUUUGAAAAUAGUCCUAUAUAGGAGUAUGCUCAUCUAUAACAGUUGGGAGGGAAAUCAUACCAAUUACAGAUUUUGUCAAAACUUGGCA